This is a long non-coding RNA of Syngnathoides biaculeatus (alligator pipefish), 545 nucleotides long. RefSeq lists it as uncharacterized. NCBI's taxonomy places the organism in Eukaryota, Metazoa, Chordata, Actinopteri, Syngnathiformes, Syngnathidae. The record is from RefSeq and is a predicted model, not a curated record. The transcript has 3 exons.
GCCUCCUAUCAGCGCCGGUGUGCUGGCCAUGCCCAGCCAGGACUGGAAGGCAGGAUCAUGACAAAGUCCUUCCAAGAUGAUCUUUUAAAAGUAAGGCGGGAACAUUAUCCUCAAUAACUUCUCAGCACCUUUAAAGAAGUACAGUUACACGGCACUGUGAAACCACGGUUGAUGUGUGGAAGGACAUCGGAAAUUGUGAGUUAUUCUCACUGCAGUUGAAUCCACUGAGAGACUACUUGUCCUUUUUAGGACCUAAGUCCUAAUCCACUACCUUGUGUACUUCACCGGAAGUAUGUCGUAGCUGUUCGUGAUCCCGUCAACCUUCGUCCACCGAGGGGCGAUUGGACUCUGGCACUGGCCUGGCCACGAAUUCACGUCCCACCAGGGCUUUUCUUCAGGAACAGCUAAAUGCUCCUGCCUGUCGACAGACUUCGGUGUGUCUUCUCCGUCCUCGAUGGGCAGUGGUGUGUUGGGGAUCCGACUCGAAUGACCAAAUGUCAGUUUUAAAAAGCUUGACUCUCUAUUAAAAGAAGGCGAACAGACAA